AAACAAACCCACACCAAUCCAAAACAUAUAUAUGUGAAAGUCAAAUCCAAACCAAAUUAGACCAUGACUUCAAUCAUCCACACCAAACCGCACCACUUAUGCGCUAGACCCAUUAAAAUACAUUUCCAACCCACCAUUUCACCGGCACCUCAUGCUAUUGUUUAUAUUUAGCCAUAAACAAAAGCAAAAAAUAAAUAGAUAGAAUAAAAAAUCAUUGUAAACUCUAUUAUUUACAGCCAAACCAGUUCAGCACACUUUAAUAAGGCCCAAACCAAACUGGCCCAACAGCCUUUUUAGCCUGUUUCAAUCCAAACCAAUACAGCCAAAAGUAAAACCAAACAAAAAAACCCGGUUUUAACCCAAACCAUUGUCAGGUUUAGUCCCAAGGGGGGCAAAGGCAAAAGAUACAACAAGCUCAGAUCGAAACUAGUAUUUCCAGC
This 440-nucleotide long non-coding RNA is filed under the name Sorghum bicolor (sorghum). RNAcentral's name for it is "long non-coding RNA (SBIC_LNC015146)". Lineage: Eukaryota; Viridiplantae; Streptophyta; Magnoliopsida; Poales; Poaceae. The record is from RNAcentral.